This 484-nucleotide ribosomal RNA is filed under the name uncultured bacterium. Its description in RNAcentral is "bacterial SSU rRNA". It matches the Rfam family "Bacterial small subunit ribosomal RNA", at positions 30 to 507 of the family's 1533-position model. The record is from RNAcentral.
AUUGAACGCUGGCGGCAUGCUUUACACAUGCAAGUCGAACGGCAGCACGGGAGCAAUCCUGGUGGCGAGUGGCGAACGGGUGAGUAAUACAUCGGAACGUGCCCAAUCGUGGGGGAUAACGCAGCGAAAGCUGUGCUAAUACCGCAUACGAUCUACGGAUGAAAGCAGGGGACCGCAAGGCCUUGCGCGAGUGGAGCGGCCGAUGGCAGAUUAGGUAGUUGGUGAGGUAAAGGCUCACCAAGCCUUCGAUCUGUAGCUGGUCUGAGAGGACGACCAGCCACACUGGGACUGAGACACGGCCCAGACUCCUACGGGAGGCAGCAGUGGGGAAUUUUGGACAAUGGGCGAAAGCCUGAUCCAGCAAUGCCGCGUGCAGGAUGAAGGCCUUCGGGUUGUAAACUGCUUUUGUACGGAACGAAACGGUCCUUUCUAAUACAGAGGGCUAAUGACGGUACCGUAAGAAUAAGCACCGGCUAACUACGUG